CGGCCUGGCUCACCUGCUACCCACACUGGGACCGCUUAGAGAGGAAAAUUCCUUUCAGGAUCUGAAAGGAAGGGACCGGGGACCGGAGGGCUGGAGGCAGCCCUUCCCCAUUUCGGGCAGGAAGGCCACGGAGUGAUGCGGAGGCAGUCCCUCAGUC
Molecule: long non-coding RNA, 157 nt
Filed under: Chinchilla lanigera (long-tailed chinchilla)
Lineage: Eukaryota; Metazoa; Chordata; Mammalia; Rodentia; Chinchillidae
Description: lncRNA (ENSCLAG00000025444.1)
Source: RNAcentral